CGUCCCGCUCGCCGUGGCCGUGGCCGAUGACCGCGGCCCCGCCGUCCCGCCCUGCCGUCUCGCCCGUCUGCUUCGACUCCUCCCACAGCCGCCUCCCUCCCUCACUCGCUCCUCAUCCGGCGACGGCGGCAGCGGUCACAGAGGAGAGCAGCGGAUCAACGGCGCCGGCGAUGGCGUCCGUGGCGGCGGUGGACGGCGCGGCCGCGGCGCUCCGUUCACUGAUGUUGCGCGCGCAGCAGGUGGCGGCGCAGUCGGGGCUGGCGCCCCGCCUCCGCCUCUGCUUGCCCUCGCGCCGCCGCCGCCGCCUCUGCCUCUGCUCGCCCUCGCGCCGCCGCCUCCGCCUCUUCUCGCCCUCGCGCUGUCGGGCCAUUUCCUCCUCCACGCCCCCUUGGUGCUCAUCAGGAAAAGCGCGGCUCGGCGCCGGCCCUCGUGAGUGAGGUAGGACACGCGCAGGAGGGAGCGGCGGAGCAAGGUGGGGCCGGUCGAGGUCUCUGUCAAUCUGCUGUUGUGGUCAUCGAUUUGCAGAUUCGUUAGGUGUUGCCGAUGCCUCCUUUGAUCUGACCCGGUUGCGUCUCGUUCAUGGAUCUGAGUUUGGGAGAGAUACAACAGAGAAGACCACCAGAGAAACGGUCGUCUCGGACCCAGACUAUCAUCGCUAUACUUGGGAUAUCUGGUGUGUCUGCAUAUGCAUAAAAUCUUCUUGUCGCUGCACCUGUAGACCUACUGGGGUUGCUUCUCUUGUUUCAUGAUUUGACGGAGAGCUCAUUUCAUGUUUUGGAUCUCUUGCCAGGUUUGUUUAUGUCUUGGAUUGGAGCAGCGAUGCAAGUAGGGAGAGGUCAUUGCCUGGACUGCUUCUCCUCUCAUCAUCGUGGCUUGCAGGUCGCCACCGUCACAAAUGUUACUUUUCAUUUACAUUCACAUGAUGUUGUAGUGUUCCAGACAUGAAAACGAUAAAAUAUUAUGGCCGGAUGGCACCGACCGACUCGAGCUCGCUUCAGCCUCCUCCUACGAUCCUGCAGCUACUACCUCCCCAAGCAAAGUCAACCUACAGCAACAAGGAUAUCCCUUUAGCAGCAGAAGCCUCUAAAGAUCACUCUAAUGUGGCUUACAUUGUCACUCCUCUUGGAUUGCAUGAGCUUAUGGUUGUCACUCCUCUUGAAUUGCAUGAGCUUAUGGUGGUAUGUGCUAAUUAAUUCCCCUAUAGUUUUACCACACUAGACAAUGUGCGUUCAGUAAACAUUAUGGUCAUUGUCGAUAAAGAGGUAACUAGCUGUCUAUUGUGAAGUACGGCUAAAUAUGUUCACUUGGUCCAUUUGUUAGUUCCCCGGUCCUCUUGACCACAACCGAAUAGUCUUUUGUUUUUUUUUCCAUUGUAGCUCAGCUCUGUAUGCUCCUAUUUCUCAAGUGGGAGUAGUGCCGCUUCCAAGAAAUAGGUCUAUGUAUGCUUAAUGCAUGUACCUGGAUUCCCUUCUAUAAUGACAAUAAUGUUUAUGCACUUCUAAUUCUACACAACGUCAAAUAAUAGAGAGUAAUCCAUUUUUUGUAUGUGUGGGCUCAUAUUGUACCUAAUCUGGAAAAAAAAUUAAAUGACAAGAUUGCAAAAAGGUGUCGGCUUGAGGUUGACCACAUCUGUUGUAUCCACCUGGAGGCCGGCUCUCUCGGUUCACUCAAGAGUACCUUUGUUCCGUUGUAGCUCAAAACGUAAGAUGCCAGAGCCACGACGGGAGUGCGUCUGCUUCCCCUUAGGAGGUAAGGCGGCGGAUGUUAUAUAUGCCCACUCUACCAUUUUCUUUAUAACAUGUAGAGUUAAACCACUGGUUUCAUAUGUCCUUUAUUCUUAUUACUUUUAGUCUCCAAAUGAUAUAGGAGAUUCUGUUGGUGCUCUAUUAACAUGAUUGGAUUUUGUAUUUUUUUCUUAUUAAAUAAUAUUGCUCCUGCACUGUGACACAUAGUCGGAGAGUAAUCCAUUCUAUUGUAUAUGUGGACUCCUCAUUGCCAAUUUGGUCAGGAAAUAAUAUUAUCUUUAAAAAUAUCAUUGUAGUAUGAGAUGGGUUCCUGAAGCAGUACC
Triticum dicoccoides is the source of this 2068-nucleotide long non-coding RNA. RefSeq lists it as uncharacterized. Lineage: Eukaryota; Viridiplantae; Streptophyta; Magnoliopsida; Poales; Poaceae. The transcript has 6 exons. The record is from RefSeq and is a predicted model, not a curated record.